Molecule: non-coding RNA, 170 nt
Organism: Misgurnus anguillicaudatus (oriental weatherfish)
Lineage: Eukaryota; Metazoa; Chordata; Actinopteri; Cypriniformes; Cobitidae
Source: RefSeq, a predicted model, not a curated record
CUGAGUGUGUGUCUUUGCCUUUCCAGCUACAAAAAGUCCAAAAAGCUCUUUGUAGAGCUAUUCCCUGAGUGUGUGUCUUUGCCUUCCAGCUACAAAAAGUCCAAAAAGCUCUUUGUAGAGCUAUUCCCUGAGUGUGUGUCUUUGCCUUCAUUUUUCACUGCCCUCCACUC